Non-coding RNA from Baffinella frigidus, 73 nucleotides. The record is from the annotation of a GenBank genome assembly. Lineage: Eukaryota; Cryptophyceae; Cryptomonadales; Baffinellaceae.
GGGUGUGUAGCUCAACCGGUAGAGCGUUUCACUUAUUAUGAAACGGUUGCCAGUUCAAAUCUGGUCAUACCCA